Molecule: long non-coding RNA, 1077 nt
Organism: Lolium perenne
Lineage: Eukaryota; Viridiplantae; Streptophyta; Magnoliopsida; Poales; Poaceae
Source: RefSeq, a predicted model, not a curated record
UCCUGACGUCGGCCCAUCAUCAUCUGCAGUCAUUUUUUGUUUGGAUUGGUUAGAUGCCAAGCAUAGUCGCUCACAUGUCUUAUACGCUCUCAGUAUUAGUGCACGGAUCAGACCAUCAAUACCAUAGGUACUCUUCUCGUUUCCUCAAAUCUGCUAUGAAAUUGUAGAUUACAAAAGACACCUGAUAUUACAGUUUGUGUACCUCAAAUGAGUGAGACUGGCCAUUCAUUUGUUUUGAAUUUUCUUCUAAUCAAUUCAAUCUGCAAGGUUAAGUGUUGACACAUGGAACUUUGAUAACAUGUCAUAUUUUACUGGGAUGCUACAUUACCUCGAUACACAUAAGUUCUGCAAUUGAUUAUUGACUUUCCGAAACAUCAAUUUCACCUUUAUAUAUUUUCAUUGUGACUUUCUGACAUGUAAUGAAUCUCAAUCCACUACUAAAUUAUCUACUUAUUUCAGUACGAUCAGUUUAUAUUUCAGUGGUUCAAUUAUUGGGCUAUCAAUACACGUGCAUUUACAAGUCCAGCAAUGAGCAUUAGAGGAGCAACUAAUGUACAGGCUGGUAGGCAACAUCGUCUGUGUGGGCUUUGUUGACGGCUUCUGCCGCGAGUGCCACCCUUAAGUCCAGUACUGAUGUGAGUGCUGCCCCUGCAAGGUCUGCAAUGAGCAGAUACAGAUUUUGCGCCAAGUUUGUUUCUAAUUCCGUGUGCACUGAGGAAGAUAUCUGUGAUGGCGUUGUACGCAGAGACAAAACGAGAGAAGCCACAAGCAGGCGCGCAUCAGCCGCAAGAAAGAACAGCUAUACUACUGGCAGGUUUCCUUUCAUUUUUUCAUGUGUGGUAACCACUAUGACUUAUGUGUCUGAAGAGCUAUUUCAAUUGCACAUGUUGGCAAAAUUGUAGUUUUGGCAUGCCACCGAGGUGAGUAUACCUACAGAGUUUCAAGCAAGUACUUAGAAUUCACUAUACCAUUCACAUUGUCUUUUUCCAUAGUGAUGCUGAAAAUGAAAUUUAUAUUUGCAGGUUCCAUAAAUCAGCAAGACUUGAGAUAUUCACAUAUUAGCAUUGAUCUUAUGAG